CAGCUGAGCCUCCUUCUUCUCCUUCAUCUCCUGGAGCUUCGAGGCGAUCUUGCUCACGUCAUUCUGCAUGCUGUCCCGGACGGAGGUUGUACUGUCUUCGGGACAGAAAUGGCCCAUGUGAUGCUGCCCCUUGGCUUUCAGCCAGUGCUCGGUUAGCAGAGGGUCAUCGUGAGCACUGGACGAGAGUAUCAGUGGCCUGUUUCAAUGGUGUUGGUUGAGAAUCUGAACAAGACGUUACAUUUUUCAUACCCUUCUUCCCUGGGAUCUAUCAGC
Long non-coding RNA from Ochotona curzoniae (black-lipped pika), 273 nucleotides. RefSeq lists it as uncharacterized. NCBI's taxonomy places the organism in Eukaryota, Metazoa, Chordata, Mammalia, Lagomorpha, Ochotonidae. The transcript has 3 exons. The record is from RefSeq and is a predicted model, not a curated record.